This 253-nucleotide ribosomal RNA is filed under the name uncultured bacterium. Its description in RNAcentral is "partial 16S ribosomal RNA". It matches the Rfam family "Bacterial small subunit ribosomal RNA", at positions 524 to 776 of the family's 1533-position model. The record is from RNAcentral.
CACGUAGGGCGCAAGCGUUGUCCGGAUUUACUGGGCGUAAAGAGCGUGUAGGCGGCCACGCAGGUCCGUUGUGAAAACUGGAGGCUCAACCUUCAGACGUCGACGGAAACCGUGUGGCUAGAGUCCGGAAGAGGAGAGUGGAAUUCCUGGUGUAGCGGUGAAAUGCGCAGAUAUCAGGAAGAACACCAAUGGCGAAGGCAGCUCUCUGGGACGGUACUGACGCUGAGACGCGAAAGCGUGGGGAGCGAACAGG